Athalia rosae (coleseed sawfly) is the source of this 7139-nucleotide RNA transcript. It is a transcript of the gene named tolloid-like protein 2, with no coding region annotated. Lineage: Eukaryota; Metazoa; Arthropoda; Insecta; Hymenoptera; Athaliidae. The record is from RefSeq and is a predicted model, not a curated record. The transcript has 19 exons.
AAGGGUUGUCAUCAACCCCGGAGAUAACCAUCGAUGGCCGAACGUCUCAACUAUUUCAUCACAGAAGAGCAUUGUUUUUAGUUCGCACAUCUUCUCUUUUCACAUUUCUUUUCUCUAACCGCGUUGUUCGGUGCCUAGUUCGGGGUAGACGUCGAUUUUCUGGGGGUGAGACGUUCCUGAAGAACCACCCAGUAAGCCGGCUAUACUCGAAGCGCCGACAGUGAACUCUCCUGGAAUUUCGCUAUGUGGUAUCUGCCGUUGCCUGUGCCCAACCUACCCCCCGCCACGGUCGCUACCCCUUAUUUUCUCUGCCCCCAGCAACCCCUAUCGUCAGUUGGGGCGUGUUGAGGUGGAUGGUUGGACCUGACCGAUCGUUUGCCAACGCGUUGUUUCGAAUAGCGUGAGAUAUGGUGCAUCGGUUACGUUCGAACGAUGUUAUCGUCAGGUGUGGUAUGGAUCUGACAAGCAAUGCGAACCACGAGAAGUGCGUUCAAUUUUUCAAGAAAAUGGUUUAGUGCGCCCUGUGAUAUAACGCGUUCCAAAAUUCCCAGCAAAAGGAGAAUAAAAAUAAUUGACUUGAGAGAAGAAAAUAUAAAUCGGUUUCUCGGAUUGACCUAGAGCUUAGUUGUUUCUUACCCUCGGCGACGCUCUUAACCCGGGGGUGGAGACACCCCACCGUUAGAAUUAUCGUGAAUGUUUUGUCAGAGGGGAAAAGAUUCCCCGAUUUUGCGAGGGUCUGAAAGAAAUAAGAAUUUAUUCACCCUGCUUCGGUCUCAUCAUGCAGGUAAAGUCUCAAUGAUGAUCUGCCAGAUCAACUUUCCCUCUUCCUGUGCUUGGAACAGACGCUGACGAUAUGGACACAGUAUGGCCUCAGCACUCCGGCAUGCCUCUGGGAGUAGUUUGGUUUUACCUGCCUUCCUUCUGCUACUAUUUCCGCGUGCCAGUACAGCCCGCGAAGUAAUCGAUGUACCACUAUCACAGCGAGACUACGUUCCUUCUCUGCCGCCGCCACCGGGGCCAUUCACUACUGCGAAAACGACAAAGUGUGACCAGACGUUUGCAAGUAUUCCUGAGGGCCCGCAGAACGGGACGUUUACAGCUCCAACCUUGAUCAACCCUGAGGGUGAUUCUCGACAGUGCGUUUAUACAUUUCUUGCUGGACCUGAACAACGGGUCGAAAUUGUGUUCACCUCGUUUGGUCUUCGUGGUAUGCCCCCUGAUGGCGCAGCGGUUGGCGAGUUACCAGCUUGUGUUCACGAGUAUAUGGAUGUGUACACGGAGGUACAAUCGGGAAAUCACAGCAAGCUGAUAGAGUCGCCUUUCGGGGGCAGAUAUUGCGGCCCUAUUCCUCCAAGAACGCGAGUGUCCCUCUACCAUGGAAUCGCGCUCAGUUUCUAUACUGAUAAAAAUGUUACCCUGCCUGACCUAUUCACUGGUUACUACACUUUCAUCAACGACUCUGAAUAUGAGGUGGGGACUCCAGCUCCAAGUGCACCAUGCACAUUUACGGUGGAUGCAGAUAUUAAACGCACGGGAAAUAUAUUGUCCCCCACUUAUCCAGGUGCUUAUCCUAAGGACCUUACCUGCAGUUACCAGUUUAUUGGACAACCCAGUCAAAGAGUUCGCCUCGAAUUCCGUGACUUCGAUUUGUUUUUCGGCGGGCCACACUGCCCUUUCGACUAUGUAAAAGUAUAUGAUGGUGCCGAUAACACCUCGGCUGUUAUUGGUACAUAUUGUGGGCAGCAACGAAACUUGGUGCUUUACUCAUCUGAGUCCAGCCUCUUUGUUUUAUUUGUCACGCUUCAAAGAACAGCCAACACACAAAAUCGCGGGUUCAAGGGUAUUUUCGAGUUCUCUGAAAGUUUUGUGAAAUUAGAUUUCAUUAAGGAUGAUGGCGAACACAUUCGUGGUUCAGAAUGUGAUCAAAAGAUAUUGAGCAGAAAGGAAUCUUCGGGCUUUGUUUUCAGUCCAAAUUAUCCUUUUCCAUAUAUUCCUAAAAUAGUAUGCCGAUACUUCAUAUAUGGAAUGCAAGAUUCCCAGCAUUUAGAACGUGUGAGACUCGAGUUUCACAAGUUUGAUAUACCCAAGGGGCAAGCAAAAGGAGACUCCGUUUGUACAGAUGGAUAUCUGAAAAUAUAUUUGAAAGGGCAGGAAGCAACGGAUUCCUACGACAAAUUCGACCAUGAGUUAUGUGGGGGAGGAAGCAAACCGGGCAAUGUAGUUAGCGAUGGACCACGUCUUGUCAUGGUUUUCAGUAGUGGUGAACUUCAAGGCAAUGGAUUCAAAGCCGAAUACAGAUUUGAAACUGAAUAUCGGAUACCUGGAACCGCAGCUCCAGACGGAACCUGUUUGUUCACGUAUCGCAGUUCCUCCCGUAAACGAGGAGAAUUUAACUCUCCGCGAUACCCAAGCAAUUAUCCUAGCGAUACCAACUGCACUUAUCUAUUCUUAGCGACACCUAACGAACAAGUUACAUUAGUAUUCGAUCAUUUUAAAGUUAGAGCAGAUAAUGCUAAUUCUACGGUGGGAUUUUAUGGGAUUCAUAUUUGCCAAGAAGAUUGGUUGGAGAUAUACAAUAUGUAUAGAGAUAACACAGAGAAAUUAAUCGGACGAUACUGUGGCAUGACUGCGCCUGGUCCAGUAGAGUCCAACUUGGGUGCUCUGGGCCUUAAAGUUGUUUUACAUUCAGAUUCUGAGCUUGUGUAUAGCGGAUUCAAAGCUCGCUACACAUUUGAUGUCGCAAAAUCUAUUUUUGGAGAUUGUGGAUCCAAUAUCAGUAGUUUGGAUUAUGGGAUGAUUACAAGUCCGAAUUUUCCAAACAAAUAUGAUGGUCCUGCGCGUAAUUUGGCCAGCAAAACCUGUAAUUGGUUUAUAAGUGUCAGACCAAACCAUCGAAUACUACUCAAUUUUGAACUAUUUUCUGUAGAAGGCGAGCAGUCAGCGCGAGGUUGCCCUGCAGCUGUAUUACGUAUGUGGCACACAAUGUCGACCCCACCGCUAGAGUUGUGUGGUGUCAAAAGCCCUGAUUCCAAGUGGAGUUACGUCUCCGAGGAUAAUAACAUGCGACUCAGUUUCAUUUCGGCAGACAAAGCAGUAGGUCAACAGGGUUUCAGAGCGGUCUGGACAGAGGUAGCCAUGGACAGUGAUUGUUCGGAUCGAUUUGUUUGUAUCAUGAGCAAAUAUUGUAUUACUGAAGAGCUUCGCUGUAACGGAAUUAACAAUUGUGGACCAGACGACUCCUCUGACGAAGAAAACUGUGCCAUAGUGAUACCUGCAGACAGCUAUGCAGUACCAGCAGGCUGUGCUGUGGGUGCCAUUCUGAUAGCACUACUGCUUUGUCUUUUGUGUCAUCGGCAGUUGAAAAGACGUCCACAAGAAGUUCAUAUUGACGACUUGCAGCAACGCGUUGAAGAUCAACAUCAUUGUCACCGCCACCACAGACUUCUUCAUCAUCAUCAAAGCCAAGGCCAUAGUCAUAAUCACAGUCAUAGUUUUAAUCAGCACCACUUUCAACAAACAAGUCCUACUAGCGAAAGUGAAGUGGAGCAUGUUUGUGGCGAUGAGGCCAGCAGUCCGGACAGUGUGUGACCGUGGAUGUUUGCAGCAUGGUUGAGGUUGUUGCAUCCGCCACAACCCCCCACGUUGCUCUUCCUAAUAUGUAACUUGUUGUUGUUGUUACUGUUGCCUAACAAAGGUAACUUAAUCAGCGCCAUCAGCAAAAAUCACUGUGCGCAUUGACCUCCCUGAAACUUAACCAAUGAGCCAACGCACUAGCCAUGCAUCAAGUAUAGUUAUUACAAACCAUACUCUGUAUAAUGUUAUAAAUAUAAAAUAGUGUAGAUAUACAUAUAUUUGACUUAUAGCUAAUAUGAUCCAAUUACUUCGAUUUUACGUCAUUCAUAUUCAUUGCCUAACAAACAAAUCUGUGUUCUACGCCUUGGCAUAGGUAUAUGUGAAGGUAUUAUAAUACUAGCUUCUGGUAAAAAACAGCUACCUCUUGGGCAACCAUGUAUUACCACAUGCUCAUCGCUUCUCUUUUAUGGCGAAACAUUCCUGACUACUUUUGCAUUAUCAACAAUAAAAUGCCAUUGUGACGCUGUGAUCUGAUUCCUGGUGUGGAUCACUGUAUAAAUCAACUUAUGUUUGCGUAGAAUCGGAGUACAACCAAAUAGUUAUAAGGGUGUGUGUCGGUCUAAUCUUAAGGGUGUAGAAGCGUAAGGUCUACGGAAGCAUAAAUACUGUCAUUCACUAACAUAGACGUAAGAGCGUAACUUAUACACAUACAUACAUAUAAUAGUAAGUCGAAUAAGCAACUAAUAUUUGACUUCGUCCCGGCGUAACAAUUUUCUAAUUUUAAGUAAAAUAAUACUCCAGAACAGAAUGAUAAGUCUGAGUCAUGAAUGCAUGAAAGUUUUGCUUGCUAAUAUAUUUUUGUGCAUGUGUUUAAUCGACAGAGUAUAACUACAUAUUCAUAAUACAGUAAAGAAUUUUGUUACUUUUACAUACGGAACGUACUUCUUUAUAAUUGCAUACUCUUGAAUACGUAUGAGACUUAAUUUUUAAGGGCAUACCACGUGAAUGGCUGCAACACCAUUCUGGCGUUAAAUAAAUUGAUGAAUAAAUCAAGAUUACGAAAUAAGCAUAGUAAUGAGAUAUUGGUUUUGUUUUGCUUCGUCAGCAAGAACAACAUAAAUACAGUUGUUAACGAGAAUCUAACGUUUUACGGCUCUUUCGGUGUGUUGCAGUUUUAUUAUUCACAUUAAAUAUGAAAAAUUCCUAUCGAUGAAAUUCUGUCAUCUCGAUGUUUGGACCGAUUAUAAAUUGCAGCAGACAUUUCUUGCGUGUAUCAUUGUCGAUUCAUUAGUCCUGCAUCUUCUAAUCGAAGCUUGUUUAUGAAUACAUGGAGACAGGUAGUUAUGCGUGAACAGGAGAGAGGGAAGGGGGGGACCGCCAAUUGCCAAUUCUUGAAAGCGUAAAAUUAAGAUGUCUAGAAUUUGAUAGUUGAUACACUUAAAUAUAUAUUUCACGAUAAAUGCUGCCAUUGGAGCUAUACCAAAGAAUAUUCUAAACUAUUAUAAAUAAAUCACAACACACGUGUAUAUACACUGGAUAUACCUAGAAUGAAAUAUACAUAUAAAGUAACUGACAACGCAUGAAUCGAUAUUUGAAGUAAUACAAUCUUAUUACAUACCUACGUUACGUACAUAAUAUGACGAUUAUGGCACAGAAUUCUAGCUCAAUGACUCGCAAAAUUUGUAUUAUAGUAUUCGUAGUUUAUGACGAAUUAAUGAAUAAAAAAUAACAUUUCAUGAAUGCGAUUCUCAUUGUAAUUAACAUUUAGUGAACAUUUGAGCAAAGAAGGGGCAACCGCUCCAAAUUGUCUCACAUAUGCAGAUCUGCAGAAUAAUUAUUUGAAACUCGCCCCAAUUACGCCCGAUUUGUGCAACUCCGAUUAUUCAUCAAAACUUUGAAACACAAAUUCAAAUCAAAUACAUCGCUAUUGUAUCCGCAGCUACUAGAUAUCAUUGGAAAACGUAUGGAUCAAAUAUCAGAGAUUAACAUUCAAAGUUCACUUUUAACGGUAUAGAACUCUAAUUACAGGUAUGUCAUCAAGUGCAAUGUGAAUUCUAUCGGAACACUCGGAAACAUAUGCUGUGUUAUAGCAGUAUUGAAUUAUAACAAUGAAUCGGACCAUGCUGGUAUACAUGUAUAAUUUCAUUACAGGAGAGAACAGGUCACAGUAUGAUGGGUACUAUGUUGAAAUUCCUGUAUCAACUGUAGAUUUAAAUCGGGUCUCAUCGCUCCAAUCUGAACGCUUAUUCUUUCAAACUCACAAUCAGAUGCAUUAUCUCAGUAGUUAAUAUUCUGCGGAGACACAGCAUUUCAUAAUUGUAUAAAUAACAGUAAUUAAAAAGCUGAAAUUUAAAGGGACAUAUAAUACUCACAUGUACCUAUACGUACCAUAGAUUCAAUGGUGAGAGCAAUAGUGGUUUGAUGGGAUUGCUAGGCCAAGUCUGGGAUUAUAAUUUUGUGAUAAAAAUAUUGCAGCACAAUUUCCGGAAGAGUCAUAUAAUCUAUUUCUACUUUUGAACGACCUGAUUUCUUUCUUAUCUCAAAAAUAGCAAUCGUGAUAUCAAUCCGUCAAGUUAAUUUGAAUAAGCUUCUGUCGAAUGCACCCUUUUGUGUUGUACUAAAUGUUAUACAUAUGCAUUAAACUAUACAGUGUUACGUGUAUAUAUCAUCAUGCUAGCAGGUUUAGCAUUGAUGCAGAGCAACACAAUAAUAUAUUUACUGUUGACAAGUAAAAUUUAUACUUUGUUAAACUUCUUCCUUCGAUUACACAAGAUAAACUAAUUCUAAAAAGCCUUAGUGUCAUUUGUUAACGAAAAAGGAUACAUACAUAUUUGUUAUUCUCUUUCUAUUGGCCAGCUAGAAUACGUCAUUACUAAUGAUAUUAAAUGCAAUUACUAAACAUUCUACGAAUUAUUCAUGCAGAAUUUUCUAAUGAUAGAAACCACGAGAACGAUAUUGUAAAUCCAGGCUUAUGGGCAUUUCUCUGGUAGCAAGCUAAGCUUGAUAUAUCCCAGACUCGGUCUUUAACCACGCGUACGUAUAACUGUAAUACCAGUUCUACAUCGCUCUAUACAGUGUAGAAAUAAUUGUUACAUGCAAGAAUAUACGCAUAAGUAAUCAAAGGAUACUCUUGCCUGCCAAAUCGCUGUUUUGAGUAGUUUUAAUUGAUCGAUAUCAUUGAGUGCUGAAUGCAAUUGAGUUUUCAACAGAAUCACGCUACUUAGUGAUUCAAGAUCAUUAGGAGGUGAACGCGGCAAUGAUAAAGAAGUGAUUCAUGAGUCUGGACGUUCUGUUUCCGGCUGAUAGGCUUAUGAAGCCAAAGAACUGAUCGUGAAAUCGACUCUGAAAGAUAUAGGCUUUCACGAGAUGGAGGUGCGAUAUUCAAAGUGCAGACUGAAGAUGAUGGUAAAGAAUGAAAGCUAGCUGCUGUGCUCAGCCAUGCCUUGAAACUUUUAAACCAACAGUGUGGGAGAAGAACCGAAUAAAGUGAAACAAUCUAUUGUCGUCACCCGAAUGCGUGUAAAUUUUAGUCAAUUAUCUUCAGAAGAAUCCAUGGAUCUAGGUUU